RNAcentral lists this long non-coding RNA (1344 nucleotides) under Equus asinus (donkey). RNAcentral's name for it is "lncRNA (ENSEASG00005026141.1)". Lineage: Eukaryota; Metazoa; Chordata; Mammalia; Perissodactyla; Equidae. The record is from RNAcentral.
UGGCUUAAAAUAAUAAUUUUAUUUAUUCAUGAUUUUGUGGGUCAGGAAUUUGGGAAGGGCUCAGAUGGGCCAUUCUUACUUGGAAUCUUUCAUGCAGUUGCAGGCAGAUGUCAGACAUCAGCAUGCUGAACAGAGCUGGACUUCCAAGUCAUUCACUCAUGUGACUGCUCAUUGUGGCUGGCCGGUGGCUGAGAGCUCAGAAUAAGUGCUGAAAACCCUGACGCGUAAAGGAGUAAGAGGCGAACUGAAUAUUAAUUUUCAUUAUGUUUCAUUAUGCUCUUUUUUAUGUGAGGAUAGUUUGUCUUAUGAAACACUAGAUAUUUCCCAGAUUCUUUCUUUAGGGGUUGAAUUCAUGAUUUUAUUUCUCUUGUCCUCAAAUUAAUGAGGGUAUCUUUCCAGAACUUUCAUCAUUGGUGCUAUGAUGAAACUUGUAAGAAAAGAAUUAUGAAUUCAUUUUCCCAUCUCAACAGAAGUAAUUUUCAGAAGACUUUUGUAGUAGUUCUGAGUAUCUGCAGACUUCUGACAAAUUGACUAUAGAUUUUAUUAUUUUCAACUGCUGAAACACUUCCUCCAGCAUUGGAAAGUUUUCACAAAUUUCUGAUUCUAGUCUCUCCUUCCAAUGUGGCAAGUUGGCUAAUGGAAUCCACAGUUGUCCAGCAGCAGCAUCCAUAAAGGUGGCUUCAGAGCUUCCUAUUAAAUGAUUUACUUCCUUCUUAAGUGCCCAGAUAGAGGCCAGCUGAGCCAAGACAUCAGUGAACCCCACCCCUUCCGACUAUUCUGGGAGUGUGAUUUACUUUUCUCAUAAAAACAUGCAACUUCUGCUCAAAUUUCAGUCAAGCCUUUCAAGACUCAUCCUCUUUAAGCCAGGGAACAUCUGUGCAGGAGGUAUCUUUGUAUUCUGUCUCCUCCUAAGAAAAACCACAUGAAGAGGCUGUGAUUCAAAACCGGGCUCAGAUGAAAGAGCCCACUUUCAGGGCCCUAGACGACACUCCCAGGGCAAGAGGCUGCCUGUGAUUUCAGGACGAAGCAAAGAAACCUCGUGACAUGUACAACUUUCUUCUUCAUUAAAGUAGAAAAGAAUUAAUGUUGUCAGGUGAAACAACUUUAGAGAGCAACAGAAUUUGUGUGCCAAGGUUGUGCCUGGCAAAUAAACUCUUCAUUCUUUUGAGGUUAUCAGUUGCAUCUACUGUUUCUAAAAGGGGUUUAAAAAGGCAUUUUUCGUAGAUGUGUUAGCUAGAAAAUAAGUUUAUAUACUGGAACCAUUGAGAGAGAGUGGUAGUUCCAUUGAGUUAAUGUUGAGGGAGAAUGAUGAGGUGCAUUACUACCUGAAACACGUUAGAAAAG